Molecule: ribosomal RNA, 658 nt
Filed under: Elsinoe rosarum
Lineage: Eukaryota; Fungi; Ascomycota; Dothideomycetes; Myriangiales; Elsinoaceae
Description: eukaryotic LSU rRNA
Rfam family: Eukaryotic large subunit ribosomal RNA
Source: RNAcentral
UCGGCGUCCGAGUUGUAAUUUGUAGAGGAUGCUAUUGAGUUGUCACCGGUCUAAGUUCCUUGGAACAGGACGUCAUAGAGGGUGAGAAUCCCGUAUGUGACCGGCCAGACGCUCUCUGUAUAGCUCCUUCGACGAGUCGGGUUGUUUGGGAAUGCAGCCCUAAAUGGGAGGUAAAUUUCUUCUAAAGCUAAAUACCGGCCAGAGACCGAUAGCGCACAAGUAGAGUGAUCGAAAGAUGAAAAGCACUUUGGAAAGAGAGUUAAAAAGCACGUGAAAUUGUUGAAAGGGAAGCGCUUGCAAUCAGUCUCGACGGCGGCUGUUCGGCCUCUCUUCUGAGUGGUUUAUUCAGUCGCCGCCGGGCCAGCAUCAGUUCUGGCGGUCGGAUAAAGACGCGGGGAAUGUAGCUCCUCUCGGGGAGUGUUAUAGCCUCGCGUGCAAUACGGCCUGCCGGGACUGAGGUCCGCGCUUCGGCUAGGAUGCUGGCGAAAUGGUUGUAAGCGGCCCGUCUUGAAACACGGACCAAGGAGUCUAACAUCUAUGCGAGUGUUUGGGUGUCAAACCCGUACGCGUAAUGAAAGUGAACGGAGGUGGGAACCGCAAGGUGCACCAUCGACCGAUCCUGAUGUCUUCGGAUGGAUUUGAGUAAGAGCAUAGCUGU